CCUACGGGAGGCAGCAGUGGGGGAUAUUGCACAAUGGGGGGAACCCUGAUGCAGCGACGCCGCGUGGGUGAAGAAGCGCCUCGGCGCGUAAAGCCCUGUCAGCAGGGAAGAAAAUGACGGUACCUGAAGAAGAAGCCCCGGCUAACUACGUGCCAGCAGCCGCGGUAAUACGUAGGGGGAAAGCGUUAUCCGGAUUUACUGGGUGUAACGGGGGCGCAGACGGCGAUGCAAGCCAGGAGUGAAAGCCCGGGGCCCAACCCCGGGACUGCUCUUGGAACUGCGUGGCUGGAGUGCAGGAGGGGCAGGCGGAAUUCCUGGUGUAGCGGUGAAAUGCGUAGAUAUCAGGAGGAACACCGGUGGCGAAGGCGGCCUGCUGGACUGCAACUGACGUUGAGGCCCGAAAGCGUGGGGAGCAAACAGGAUUAGAUACCCCAGUAGUC
RNAcentral lists this ribosomal RNA (440 nucleotides) under uncultured bacterium. Its description in RNAcentral is "partial 16S ribosomal RNA". It matches the Rfam family "Bacterial small subunit ribosomal RNA", at positions 338 to 795 of the family's 1533-position model. The record is from RNAcentral.